This 253-nucleotide ribosomal RNA is filed under the name uncultured bacterium. RNAcentral describes it as "partial 16S ribosomal RNA". It matches the Rfam family "Bacterial small subunit ribosomal RNA", at positions 524 to 776 of the family's 1533-position model. The record is from RNAcentral.
UACGUAGGGGGCAAGCGUUGUCCGGAAUCAUUGGGCGUAAAGCGCGUGUAGGCGGCCCGGUAAGUCCGCUGUGAAAGUCGGGGGCUCAACCCUCGAAUGCCGGUGGAUACUGUCGGGCUAGAGUGCGGGAGAGGCGAGUGGAAUUCCUGGUGUAGCGGUGAAAUGCGCAGAUAUCAGGAGGAACACCAAUUGCGAAGGCAGCUCGCUGGAACGUAACUGACGCUGAGGCGCGAAAGCCAGGGGAGCAAACGGG